This is a non-coding RNA of Acanthosepion pharaonis, 103 nucleotides long. NCBI's taxonomy places the organism in Eukaryota, Metazoa, Mollusca, Cephalopoda, Sepiida, Sepiidae. The record is from the annotation of a GenBank genome assembly.
AUGGCCAUAUGACAUUGAAACACAGGUUCCCGUGCGAUCACGGAAGUUAAGCAAUGUCGAGACUGGUCAGUACCUAGACAGGCGACUGUUUGGGAAUGUAUAU